Malurus melanocephalus (red-backed fairy wren) is the source of this 476-nucleotide long non-coding RNA. RefSeq lists it as uncharacterized. NCBI's taxonomy places the organism in Eukaryota, Metazoa, Chordata, Aves, Passeriformes, Maluridae. The record is from RefSeq and is a predicted model, not a curated record. The transcript is spliced from 2 exons.
AAGGGCUCUUUGUGCUCCGGCCGGAGCGCGGCGGUGCCGGAUGCAGCCCCGGGAGCGAAGCCAAGGCCGGGGCCCCGCCAGGGCUGUCCCGGGGCCGCGCUGGCCCCGCUCCCGGCUCACCCCGCGGGCUGACCCCGAUCCCCGGCACAGGUGCUGUCCAAAGCCCCGAACCCCGCRGACCCCGCGGCCCCGCCGGACACGCAGGUGACCGUGCAGCUCUUCGACUCGGAGCCGCUGGCGCUGACCGUGCCCGGGGACAUCCCGUGGGACGAUCCCAAAUUCAUGGAGAUCGUGGCCGAGCAGGCGCUCCGGCACUACAAGGAGAACGCCAUAGAGUAGCUGGACAAUCCCGCUGCCGCCGCCCCUCCGGAUCCCAUUCUAGARCGGAGCUGUCACCAUCGCUGUCACCUCCCCCCACCCCCUUUCCCGCUGCCGGGACCCCCUCCCCGAAAAUAAAGGUAGAGUUGAACCCCCUG